This 260-nucleotide ribosomal RNA is filed under the name uncultured bacterium. RNAcentral's name for it is "partial 16S ribosomal RNA". It matches the Rfam family "Bacterial small subunit ribosomal RNA", at positions 524 to 777 of the family's 1533-position model. The record is from RNAcentral.
UACGGAGGGUGCGAGCGUUGUCCGGAAUCACUGGGCGUAAAGGGCGCGUAGGCGGCGCGGGGAGUCAACGGUGAAAGCUCGGCGCUCAACGCCGAGUCGGCCGUCGAUACUCCCCGUGCUCGAGCACUGUAGAGGCAGGUGGAAUUCCGGGGUGUAGCGGUGGAAUGGCGUAGAGAGUCCGGAAGAACACCGGUGGCGAAGGCGGUUAGCUGGGCAGUUGCUGGACACUGGAGGCGCGACAGCGUGGGGAGCAAACAGGG